This 23-nucleotide non-coding RNA is filed under the name Rattus norvegicus (Norway rat). The record is from RNAcentral. Lineage: Eukaryota; Metazoa; Chordata; Mammalia; Rodentia; Muridae.
UAGGAGCCUCUGCAACCUCGCAU